This 226-nucleotide ribosomal RNA is filed under the name uncultured bacterium. Its description in RNAcentral is "partial 16S ribosomal RNA". It matches the Rfam family "Bacterial small subunit ribosomal RNA", at positions 538 to 763 of the family's 1533-position model. The record is from RNAcentral.
GCGUUGUUCGGAUUCACUGGGCGUAAAGGGUGCGUAGGUGGUUGGGUAAGUCUGAUGUGAAAUCUCCGAGCUUAACUCGGAAAUGGCAUUGGAUACUAUUCGGCUAGAGGGUUGGAGGGGGGACUGGAAUACUUGGUGUAGCAGUGAAAUGCGUAGAUAUCAAGUGGAACACCAGUGGCGAAGGCGAGUCCCUGGACAACUCCUGACACUGAGGCACGAAAGCUAG